GGUGACGUGGCCGAGAGGCGAGGCAGCGGCCUGCAAAGCCGUUUACACGGGUUCGAAUCCCGUCGUCACCU
RNAcentral lists this transfer RNA (71 nucleotides) under Gulosibacter faecalis. Its description in RNAcentral is "tRNA-Cys". It matches the Rfam family "tRNA". Rfam says of the family: Transfer RNA (tRNA) molecules are approximately 80 nucleotides in length. Their secondary structure includes four short double-helical elements and three loops (D, anti-codon, and T loops). RNAcentral also lists the same sequence under 4 other names. Lineage: Bacteria; Bacillati; Actinomycetota; Actinomycetes; Micrococcales; Microbacteriaceae. The record is from RNAcentral.